GGAAUCUCAACCGCCACCCCCCUCAUCACCCCUCCCCGUUCUCAUGCUUCAACUUCCUCAGAAUAUCCUUGGGGCAAAUAUGAGAUUGUGACAGGAACAGCGGCUGACUGUUCUGUGGAGUCACCAGGAACCAGCCACUUGGAGAAAC
Long non-coding RNA from Orcinus orca (killer whale), 148 nucleotides. RefSeq lists it as uncharacterized. NCBI's taxonomy places the organism in Eukaryota, Metazoa, Chordata, Mammalia, Artiodactyla, Delphinidae. The transcript has 3 exons. The record is from RefSeq and is a predicted model, not a curated record.